CCCGGAGCCGCCCGCCGGGAGGCGGCCGGCCCGGAGUCGGCCCGCCCGGAGCCACCCGCCGGGAGUCGGCCGGCCCGGAGCCGCCCGCCGGGA
Molecule: transfer RNA, 93 nt
Filed under: Streptomyces toxytricini
Lineage: Bacteria; Bacillati; Actinomycetota; Actinomycetes; Kitasatosporales; Streptomycetaceae
Description: tRNA-Pro
Source: RNAcentral